Mustela erminea (ermine) is the source of this 1141-nucleotide long non-coding RNA. RefSeq lists it as uncharacterized. Lineage: Eukaryota; Metazoa; Chordata; Mammalia; Carnivora; Mustelidae. The transcript has 3 exons. The record is from RefSeq and is a predicted model, not a curated record.
GGCAGUGGGGGGCAGAUAAAAGUCCUUUGGCCGAGGGUCACCUCCGUCCUUGUUGUUCACUUGAGAGCAGUGGAGAGGAAAACGGUCCCCACGGGCGGACUUUGGCUUCUGGAGCCGCGGAGCCCAGCGGUCCGGGCCUCCCCGAGCUCCGCCUGGUCCAAGAGUGACUUGGGAGAGCUGGCUCCAGGAGGCGGACCUCGGCCUAGUUUGCUGGCUGGAAUAGAACUCUAUUUCGAGGCAAUCAAUCAAUCUGCAGAAAACAAAAAUGGAAGUCGAGGUUUGGGAAGAGUUGUCUCAUCCCCAACUUGAGUGGUGCGGGCUGGGGGCGGAGACUCGGGACUGAUGAGAAGCCCUUUUUCCCACCUCAGCUCCUUUCCCUGGACUUCCAGAAGGAAGAAUUACCCUCUUCAGCCCCCUUGUUCCCCAUACCCAUCCCCGCGUGGCCGCCGACACUUUUCUGCCCCUCUUUUUCCUUUCAAGCGAGAAAAGCCUAAUUCCCGAGCCAGUGGAGUCGGUCCUCUCGCCCCUCCCGCUCCCACGCGGGUCCCCCUCUUCAGCCAUCGCUACUGCCACCACCUCGGUUCCACUCAAUCGAUUUUUGCUGCAUGUCAACACUUAUUACCGGUUUUAGCAGAGAAACCAGAGAAAUUUUACUCUAAUCUUAAAAGUUUAUUUGUCACUCUGCUUCUCAAACACCUCUUCCCCGCCCCCCAUGAAGAGAGGCUUUCUGGUUGUUGACAUUCUAUCUGAAAAGAUAGAAUCCAGAAUUUAUUGUGCGUGGGAUGUAUAACUUCAUUCAUUUCUUGCUGAGUAUUUUAUGUAUUUUAUGUAAAUGUUGAUUUUAGAUUUUGAAGAAUAGAGAAGGCCUGGAAAACAUAAAAGGACCAUCAAAGUUGUAUUUAAUUCUACUUAAUUGCGUUAAAAAAUCAUUGCUAUUUGUUUUGUAACAAUAUAUUAACAGUUCAGUGGCAACUGGAAAACAAGAGAGAGUUGAAGCUUAAAUUCCUGUCAAAAAAUGACUAAAAGAACUAUAUAAAUUUCUUUUUAGAAAUAUUUAAAAAAUUAAUAAAUGUGUGGUAAAGGUGUUAAUUUCUGAGAGCUGUGUGAGGGACUGCAUUUUUUUUUUCUUCUCUCUGAAGGG